Molecule: non-coding RNA, 1576 nt
Organism: Coffea arabica (coffee)
Lineage: Eukaryota; Viridiplantae; Streptophyta; Magnoliopsida; Gentianales; Rubiaceae
Source: RefSeq, a predicted model, not a curated record
CAUUCUUUCAAUAGCACUAACAUGUGCAAUACGUUCUCUAGAAAUACCAUCAAUUGAAUGGAAGAACAUUGCCAUGGUCACUUAAAUAUUUACAAAAGGAAGGGAAGAAGGGGAUCUAGGGUGGGUUAGCAACAAUAUCAACUAUUUCUUCACGCCUUCCCUUGAUUUGGGAGUUGGCUUCGACCAAAGAAGCAAGCAACCACCAAAAAAAAAAGGGGGUAUUAGACUAAUGUCCAAAAGGAGGAUCAAUUGGAGCAGAAGGAGUGAGCACAAGCAAGAAGGCCAAGAUAAUAAACUCAACCAUCUCUUUACAGCUUAUCAUGUUGGCAGCUUAUCAUCUAAAAUCUAAAUAUGGGUUUAAUUCAUAGAACCAAGUUGCAUUCCCCAAGCUUUUGCAUUCACACUGAUAAGUGAAAAUGGCUCUGGAUUGUAAUUCAAAAGGGACUUCCUUUAGGAUUGCAACCUGAGAUGGCAUCAAUAUCAGAAUAGUUUAGGGGGCAGGACCACGCAGCAGGAGCAUAUCUCAAAGGCAAGUUUGGAGGGUCCGCAUAGUUCUCCAACUUCAGUUCUGGUCCUCCAAGAAGGCAUAGGCACAGGUAUUGGAUGCAAAGCUCUGCAAAGCGUUACGUGCAAUUGAGAACUGUAUUGGCUGAGAUAGCAGGGAAUGCUUGCUUGACAGCAAUUGAUGAUGCCACAGCAACCGGUUAUGUUGUUGGUGCCACACAUUAAGGUGCAACCAGACAAGAUCUCUGGACUGCCAAGUCUCGGUCUGAAGAGAGCAUUUCCACGGCCAAGAAACAUCCCUUGUUGCAUUCUCUGGAAACAAAGAAGGAGCUUCGGCGAGGGGACCUUCUGCAAUUGCCCGAUCAAAUGAAUCGUUCCAGCAAACCUGGAGCAAGGGCAAGUUUAUGAUUACCGUUUGAUCACUCAGGGACACUUCCAGCGCCUCAACAAUUUCUUGGGAACCUUUUCCAAGUUAAAGCACCCCAGAUACGGCUUUGAACUGUUGAUGGAAUCGCCAGAGACAUCAGUACAGCUUAUGGUGAAUGCUUCAUUAGAGCACAAUCUGGACCAAUUCCAAAUGGGUAGGGAAUUGUCACUCCUCCAUAGGUGUUAAUGCAUCCUGGAUUCGCCACUGGAAAUCGUGUCCCUCCAAUGAUUGAACAAUGGGGUAAAGAAACACAAAUAACAUACAGAUGGAGCUGUGGAAGCAGCCACCGCAGCAGACGGAGCCUCCGGCAGCUGUAUCGUCUUCCCAAACAGCGUAAAUGAAAGUAGAUGUUCAAUGCUGGGAAAAGGCAGAGGAGGAAGAUGAGCAAGAGGAGAGACAAGGCGUCAGAGAUGGAAGUAUAGGUGGUGGCAGAGGAGGAAGUAUGGGAGGACUGAGGAGGCGGAGAAGGAAGAUGCGGAGAAGAAAGAGCUACAAAGAAACGGUGGUUGGCCUGUGACGAGAGAGAGAGAGAGGGGGGGAGGACUUUCAUUUUCAGUUUUGUUUUUGUUGAUUACAUGGAGAUCCGUUUUAUUGAUUUAAUCCACUUAGGAUCCGCGUACCAACCCGAAUAGAAGAUGAAAUUAU